This 491-nucleotide ribosomal RNA is filed under the name uncultured bacterium. RNAcentral's name for it is "partial 16S ribosomal RNA". It matches the Rfam family "Bacterial small subunit ribosomal RNA", at positions 29 to 506 of the family's 1533-position model. The record is from RNAcentral.
AGUGAACGCUGGCGGUAGGCCUAACACAUGCAAGUCGAACGGCAGCACAGUAAGAGCUUGCUCUUACGGGUGGCGAGUGGCGGACGGGUGAGGAAUACAUCGGAAUCUACUUUUUCGUGGGGGAUAACGUAGGGAAACUUACGCUAAUACCGCAUACGACCUACGGGUGAAAGCAGGGGAUCUUCGGACCUUGCGCGAUUGAAUGAGCCGAUGUCGGAUUAGCUAGUUGGCGGGGUAAAGGCCCACCAAGGCGACGAUCCGUAGCUGGUCUGAGAGGAUGAUCAGCCACACUGGAACUGAGACACGGUCCAGACUCCUACGGGAGGCAGCAGUGGGGAAUAUUGGACAAUGGGCGCAAGCCUGAUCCAGCCAUACCGCGUGGGUGAAGAAGGCCUUCGGGUUGUAAAGCCCUUUUGUUGGGAAAGAAAAGCAGCAGGUUAAGACCCCGCUGUUCGGACGGUACCCAAAGAAUAAGCACCGGCUAACUGCGG